Molecule: small nuclear RNA, 103 nt
Organism: Pteronotus mesoamericanus
Lineage: Eukaryota; Metazoa; Chordata; Mammalia; Chiroptera; Mormoopidae
Source: RefSeq, a predicted model, not a curated record
GUGCUCACUUUGUCAGCGCAUAUACUAAAAUUGGAACAAUACAGAGAAGAUUAGCAUGGCUGGGCAAGGAUGACAUGCAAAUUCGUGGGCGUUCCAUAUUCUA